GCCCAAAGCCAUUCCACUUGUCAGAUCUCAAAUUAAGAAGGGACAAGCCUGGUCAGCACUUGGAUGGGUGACCUGCAAGGAAAAACCAGGUGCUUCAAGAA
This 101-nucleotide ribosomal RNA is filed under the name Chrysemys picta bellii (western painted turtle). Lineage: Eukaryota; Metazoa; Chordata; Testudines; Emydidae. The record is from RNAcentral.